UACGAAGGGGGCUAGCGUUGUUCGGAAUUACUGGGCGUAAAGCGCACGCAGGCGGCUCGCUAAAUUAGGAGUGAAAGCCCCGGGCUUAACCUGGGAAUUGCUUUUAAGACUGGCGAGCUAGAAUCCAGAAGAGGGUAGUGGAAUUCCGAGUGUAGAGGUGAAAUUCGUAGAUAUUCGGAAGAACACCAGUGGCGAAGGC
RNAcentral lists this ribosomal RNA (199 nucleotides) under uncultured prokaryote. RNAcentral describes it as "partial 16S ribosomal RNA". It matches the Rfam family "Bacterial small subunit ribosomal RNA", at positions 524 to 722 of the family's 1533-position model. The record is from RNAcentral.